This 254-nucleotide ribosomal RNA is filed under the name uncultured bacterium. Its description in RNAcentral is "partial 16S ribosomal RNA". It matches the Rfam family "Bacterial small subunit ribosomal RNA", at positions 524 to 776 of the family's 1533-position model. The record is from RNAcentral.
CACGUAGGGGGCAAGCGUUGUCCGGAUUUAUUGGGCGUAAAGAGCUCGUAGGUGGUUCGGUAAGUCGGGUGUUAAACCCCCAGGCUCAACCUGGGGACGCCACUCGAUACUGCUGUGACUAGAGUCCGGUAGGGGAGCGUGGAAUUCCUGGUGUAGCGGUGAAAUGCGUAGAUAUCAGGAGGAACACCGGUGGCGAAGGCGGCAUCCUGGACCGGUAUUGACGCUGAGGCGCGAAAGCCAGGGGAGCAAACGGG